RNAcentral lists this ribosomal RNA (400 nucleotides) under uncultured bacterium. Its description in RNAcentral is "bacterial SSU rRNA". It matches the Rfam family "Bacterial small subunit ribosomal RNA", at positions 355 to 772 of the family's 1533-position model. The record is from RNAcentral.
UGGGGAAUAUUGGACAAUGGGCGAAAGCCUGAUCCAGCAAUGCCGCGUGAGUGAAGAAGGCCUUAGGGUUGUAAAACUCUUUCGCCGGUGAAGAUAAUGACGGUAGCCGGAGAAGAAGCCCCGGCUAACUUCGUGCCAGCAGCCGCGGUAAUACGAAGGGGGCUAGCGUUGUUCGGAAUUACUGGGCGUAAAGCGCACGUAGGCGGAUCUGUAAGUAGGGGGUGAAAUCCCAGGGCUCAACCCUGGAACUGCCUUCUAGACUGCAGGUCUUGAGGUCAGGAGAGGCGAGUGGAAUACCGAGUGUAGAGGUGAAAUUCGUAGAUAUUCGGUGGAACACCAGUGGCGAAGGCGACUCGCUGGACUGAUACUGACGCUGAGGUGCGAAAGCGUGGGGAGCAAA